This 406-nucleotide ribosomal RNA is filed under the name uncultured bacterium. RNAcentral's name for it is "partial 16S ribosomal RNA". It matches the Rfam family "Bacterial small subunit ribosomal RNA", at positions 29 to 526 of the family's 1533-position model. The record is from RNAcentral.
AUUGAACGCUGGCGGCAGGCCUAACACAUGCAAGUCGAACGAGUGGCGGACGGGUGAGUAAUGUCUGGGAAACUGCCCGAUGGAGGGGGAUAACUACUGGAAACGGUAGCUAAUACCGCAUACCAUCGGAUGUGCCCAGAUGGGAUUAGCUUGUAGGUGAGGUAACGGCUCACCUAGGCGACGAUCCCUAGCUGGUCUGAGAGGAUGACCAGCCAGACUGGAACUGAGACACGGUCAAGACUCAUAAGGGAGGCAGCAGGGGGGAAUAUUGCACAAUGGGCGCAAGCAGGAUGCAGCCAUGCCGCGUGGAUGAAGAAGGACUUCGGGUUGUAAAGUACGUUCAGCGGGGAGGCGUUACCCGCAGAAGAAGCACCGGCUAACUCCGUGCCAGCAGCCGCGGUAAUUC